This 253-nucleotide ribosomal RNA is filed under the name uncultured bacterium. RNAcentral's name for it is "partial 16S ribosomal RNA". It matches the Rfam family "Bacterial small subunit ribosomal RNA", at positions 524 to 776 of the family's 1533-position model. The record is from RNAcentral.
CACGUAGGGGGCAAGCGUUGUCCGGAAUUAUUGGGCGUAAAGAGCUCGUAGGCGGCUCGGUAAGUCAGGUGUCAAAUCCUCAGGCUCAACUUGGGGCUCCACCUGAUACUGCUGUGGCUAGAGUCCGGUAGGGAAGCGUGGAAUUCCUGGUGUAGCGGUGAAAUGCGCAGAUAUCAGGAGGAACACCAGCGGCGAAGGCGGCGCUCUGGGCCGGAACUGACGCUGAGGAGCGAAAGCGUGGGUAGCAAACAGG